GGCUCUGUGGCGGAACGGCAGACGCGGCGGAUUUAAAAUCCGCUGCCCACAUGGGCGUCCGGGUUCGACCCCCGGCGGAGCCACCA
RNAcentral lists this transfer RNA (86 nucleotides) under Polyangiaceae bacterium. RNAcentral's name for it is "tRNA-Leu". It matches the Rfam family "tRNA". Rfam says of the family: Transfer RNA (tRNA) molecules are approximately 80 nucleotides in length. Lineage: Bacteria; Pseudomonadati; Myxococcota; Polyangiales; Polyangiaceae. The record is from RNAcentral.